Non-coding RNA from Pongo abelii (Sumatran orangutan), 52 nucleotides. Lineage: Eukaryota; Metazoa; Chordata; Mammalia; Primates; Hominidae. The record is from Rfam.
UUUUUAGUAUAAGUAUAUCCCAUGCAAUAUCUGGGACACACUUGUGCUAAAC